UUAGUUUCGUUGCAUGUGCCUGUUGACAUAAUUUUUAUGUUAUAAACGGUGUUCGUUUUAUUUUAGCUUCUUUUUGUCCAUAUUAGUUAGGCGUGUUUAUAGCGAUAUACUUUUCGUGGAAUGCCACAAAUUUUCUAAUUGGUGUAAUCGAUAAUCGAAUCGAUAAGCCUCAAAAAUCGAUAAAUCGAAAUCGAAAAAAUCAAAACUUUAUUGAAACGAUAA
This 222-nucleotide long non-coding RNA is filed under the name Nicotiana benthamiana. RNAcentral's name for it is "long non-coding RNA (NBEN_LNC025950)". The record is from RNAcentral. Lineage: Eukaryota; Viridiplantae; Streptophyta; Magnoliopsida; Solanales; Solanaceae.